ACCCACUGACGAAGCUGUUGAGCUAGCAAAAGAUUGAAGUCCACUUUGAGAAGAUGGAACUUAGAUUUGUAGCCAAUUGGCUUUAGAUCAAGUGGGAGUUUGUUAGAUGUAUGCCUUAGAAGCAAGAUUAACUGAUACUUGUAAAAUACUUUUAGGGCAUAAUUUAUAAUUUGACUUUGAUAUUAAUAAAAUUAGAUUAUUUCUAUUCAUAUUAUGUUUAAAAGUAUCUAUGAAUCAUCCAUUGGGUUAAUGGAUAAGAUAACACAUAUUCUC
This 273-nucleotide long non-coding RNA is filed under the name Elaeis guineensis (African oil palm). RNAcentral describes it as "long non-coding RNA (EGUI_LNC043682)". The record is from RNAcentral. Lineage: Eukaryota; Viridiplantae; Streptophyta; Magnoliopsida; Arecales; Arecaceae.